Danio rerio (zebrafish) is the source of this 701-nucleotide long non-coding RNA. RefSeq annotates it as nuclear protein 1a. The record is from RefSeq and is marked validated. NCBI's taxonomy places the organism in Eukaryota, Metazoa, Chordata, Actinopteri, Cypriniformes, Danionidae.
AACGAAGACACACGUGAUGCUCGUGUUUGAGAAAACCGUGUGACUUCAGCGAUGUUGUUUACACGCAUUAACAGACUUGCAGAGAGAAGCUCCUCAAGAAAAUGGCUGCAGAAAUGGAAAGAUUCACUUCAUUCGAAGAGGCGCAUUACGACCAAUAUGAUUAUUAUAACCUGGAGGAUUAUUCCUCUCACGCUGGAGGGAAAGGCAGGAGUAAGAAGGAGAUCUGCCUGAACACGAAUCGCCAUUCUCCAGCGGGACACGAGCGCAAAAUCGCUGGAAAACUGCAGAACAGCGAGCUGAAACGCCGGAGAACCAAGAGCUGCUCCUCCUGAGGACAUUCCCGGAGAAUCCGACUGCUCGUACUGGAGAUGGACGAAAGAAACCGGAUUGUGGUCCAAGAAAUGUCUGUUUUGCCUUUUUCCACUCGAUGUUGAUGUCGAGGACUCGCAAUGUCGUUCAUGCGCAUGCGCAACUGUGUCACAUUCUGCAGCCGCCGUCACGCGACCUGCUGCAGCAGUGUGUAUGAGAGAGUGAGAGUGUGUCUGUGUGUGUGUGUCUGUGUGUCAUGUCUUAUAAACGUUUGUUGACUUUUAUAACUAUUAAAACGUGUUCAGCUGAAGGAAACUAUUCUGAGAGUAGAGAAUAUGUAAACUUGUGUAAUGGAAGAUAAAUUAUUAUAAUAAAGACAUUUUGCAUUCAUG